This 87-nucleotide non-coding RNA is filed under the name Pseudomonas psychrophila. The record is from RNAcentral. Lineage: Bacteria; Pseudomonadati; Pseudomonadota; Gammaproteobacteria; Pseudomonadales; Pseudomonadaceae.
UUUUAUGGUGGUCGUGCGCAGGGCGCCUUAGGGCGCGCCGGGUCCCGAACUUACCGGUCUACUAACCUGCGUGCGGCUGCCACCUUC